AUUGAACGCUGGCGGAAUGCUUUACACAUGCAAGUCGAACGGCAGCACGGACUUCGGUCUGGUGGCGAGUGGCGAACGGGUGAGUAAUGUGUCGGAACGUGCCCAGGCGUGGGGGAUAACGUAGUGAAAAUUACGCUAAUACCGCAUACGAUCUAUGGAUGAAAGCGGGGGAUCGCAAGACCUCGCGCGAUUGGAGCGGCCGAUAUCAGAUUAGGUAGUUGGUGGGGUAAAGGCCCACCAAGCCAACGAUCUGUAGCUGGUCUGAGAGGACGACCAGCCACACUGGAACUGAGACACGGUCCAGACUCCUACGGGAGGCAGCAGUGGGGAAUUUUGGACAAUGGGCGAAAGCCUGAUCCAGCCAUUCCGCGUGCAGGAUGAAGGCCCUCGGGUUGUAAACUGCUUUUGUACAGAACGAAAAGGUUUCUACUAAUACUAGGAGCUCAUGACGGUACUGUAAGAAUAAGCACCGGCUAACUACGUGCCAGCCGCCGCAGUAA
Molecule: ribosomal RNA, 500 nt
Filed under: uncultured bacterium
Lineage: Bacteria
Description: partial 16S ribosomal RNA
Rfam family: Bacterial small subunit ribosomal RNA
Source: RNAcentral